RNAcentral lists this ribosomal RNA (3684 nucleotides) under Triticum aestivum (bread wheat). RNAcentral describes it as "partial small subunit ribosomal RNA". The record is from RNAcentral. Lineage: Eukaryota; Viridiplantae; Streptophyta; Magnoliopsida; Poales; Poaceae.
CAAUUUUAAUCCGAGUGAGAGUCUGAGAGGUGGCGGGGGCGCCCCAUGCGGGUUCAGAGGUGCGGUAAGGGGUAAGAGGACCAGCGGUCGAGGGGGAAAGGUGGAGCAUCCAUCGAGGAGGGGAAGCAGGGGUGUCGGCCGCGCUCCAGGCGUGCGGGGAAGAGCAACUAGGCCAGGGGCUUCAGGGGCUCCUCCGUGAGCUCGAGCCGUACGAGCGCUCGCUGGGUCACGUUCCCCGGUAGACUCCGCCUUCGCCACCGGGCCCUAAGCAGAGUAGGCGUAGCCGCCGGCGCCGGUAGGUCGCGACCGCAACGGGCUCGUGCCUCGUCCGGGGUUGAGGAGUGGUCGACCUCGCCAAGCCCACGAGGCGAAAGUGGCCGCUCGACGGGGACGGACGGGGGUCUACGCGCAGCCGGGCGCCUCCCCCUCCCCAGCUUCUUCGUUCGCGAUCAUCCCCUCCUCUGCCUCUCCUCCGCCUUACUCCAAGAUCUACCAAGACCGCCACGCUUAGUGGCGUCCGCAGCGCGGGUAACAGCGGAAACGGGCGACGCUCUUGAGGGCGAGGCGCGCGGUUACCGUCGGCCCUGGUUCCCUAUAAACUUUAACCGUUCCUUUUCUUUUGAAGUCUACACUUGUGGAGACAAUUCAUAAUAAAAAUAAAGUGAUAAUGAUUACACAGCGGACUAUCGAGCUAGAGAAGGUAUGUAUGUAUGUACCAAUAAAGUCAGUACACUACAUAAACAGAGCAUUUCAGUCACGGGCAGUUAUGAAAGAAAGCGAUCAGUUCAAAAGUAGACUAUCUAGACUAUCUAUCUACCUUUGUAUUCAAAAGUAAGUAUUUAUCAUUCAUUAAACAGAGACUUAAAACUGUCACGUCUGAUGAAGAAAAGUAUGCAUACGUCGAAAUGGAGCGGAGUAUUAAACUCAAAUAAACAAACUGACUACGAUAAACAUUUUAAGAUUAACGCGAAUGCCUAUUACGGGGGACUAAAACGAAAGACGGAUCUGAUUGAGACAGAUGUUGGAGAACGUACAUAAAAAGGGGGUACAAAUAGAUUUUACCAAAAACCGGGAAAUAAAAAUUUAUUGGUUUGUUGAAAGAAUAUGAAUAUUUAUCAUGACCUCGAGUACCGGAACGAAUUCUUUUUGGUAGAUAUUAACGAUUCAAAUAUUAUUAUCCACUCGAUGACACAGAGCCCGUAUGUUACGUUUGAACGUCUGGUAUUCGAUCUAUGCGUUACUAAAAAAAGAAUGAUAAUGGUACAAAAAAGUUAAAUAGUUCGAGGUCGGGUUUAUAGACUAUCAUAAACCGGAUGUCAAUCACAUGAUUAAUUAACCUAUAAACUCAUCAUAACAGUUGUCAUUAUUGAAAAUGUACAAACGUAAUGAAGGUUCUCAUUGUCGUCCGCAAAUCCUGUGGAAAUCCUCUAGAUGAUUAGAGAUUAGUACGAUGAGUUCCUAUCCUUGGCAUCCGAAGAGAUAUGUAAAAAAGUGACAGGAAAUAACCACCAAGAUACUACAUCAGGUUUACUUUGGUUAACGUACAUAACUCUUUAUCUCAUAUCGAUCUAUUUCCAUUUUGUCUUGAACUGCACCAAAAGGUGACUGGACUUGUUAUUUUAUCUGGUGUAUAGACCCUUCGUCUAAUUAUACCCUGUCGAAUAAUUCCCCGGGCUCGAACAUAUCAUCAUAUGCCCCGACAUAAUCACUAUCAUCUUUACUAAAGGAGAUUAAAUCGUAAACAUGGUUCCGGCGGUCAUAAAAGUGACGUAAAGUCUUUAUGUUUGAUGUUUAAAACGUUACCACGGUUUUUAUUAAUAAAGUACUCGACGAAGGAUAAAAUGGGUUAUACUUUUGUAUUCGAUGUACAACGUUGUACUACCUCUUCUCCGUUGUGUCCUUGGACAAAUGGUAAAAAAAACGGUUCCAGAACAGACAUUUACCUCUGUAGAUAUAAACAAAGACUUACUAUACGAAAUUAGUGUACGGAAGAAGAGAAGGAAUCCUUUUAGUCUCCAGAUGGUUAAAUACAUAUAUCACCCACCAAAAAAACCAUUGAAUUGAACUCGUUGGAUUAAAACUUUGUAUUAAACUCUCUGUAUUUAUGUUUGUGACAAUUUUAGUUCCCGAAUGGACACUCAAGUCUUGGUCGUUAGUCAACUAACAAUUGUCAGUUAUACAUACUAAUAAAAAGAUUUACAAAAAGAAAAGGAAAGCACACUUCCAUACGCUACUAGCCGUAAGACUCGAUUAGGGAACAAACCUAUCCUUAAACUAAUAGUCUAUUCGAACUUCUACCUAAAUUUUGACUACCUCGUAGUACUCGUAGUAACGGGAUGAAUCCUCUCUGCGAAAUUAACGAACUAAGGUGGCGGUGUACCGAUAUUCGAGCGCACGCCCAUAAGUGCACGAGGGAACGUAAUAGUGAGUUUUGUUGAGUACAACAGACCACGAGCCUACAACUUCAUCUGUGACCUGUAAGGGAGCGUGAGCGUAGUUCGGGAUGGACUAAGGGGAGUAUGCAUACUAGUCUAAGACAUCCUCAACCUUCUGUUUUCAUGACUAGGUUGGUACCUUCCCCACCUUCCGAUAGGUGUAGUGAUAAGUUGUACGUUGGUUGGUGGAGUGAGCUCAGUAAUCGCGAAGGGAACGUCAACCUCCGAUGUUGCGAUAUGACGUAGCCACAUCGGAGUAGGUUCGAGGACAUGUACCGCUCUAUUGAGGCGUUGUACCUCGCGGGACAGCCUACUUAGGGAGUACCGUGGGUAGUGGCCGUGCGGUGGAAACGAUACCGGACGCACAGUCUACGCAGAAAGGUUGCGACUUCGAAACGGAGGUUAGAGAGCAUAUGGGGUGACAGGUCGCACAUACCGAAAUAAGUAAACGGACAGAAGUUGGUACAGGACGUUCCGUCUGAGUACCUAUACCUAAAAGCCAUAAGGACCUACGUACGUACAAGUGCCCCACUACGUCGAUGGUCGUUAGGUGCAGCAGGGAGAUAGCUGUGCGGGUGAUGAUCUGUGCCGGCGUAGACAAAACACAACAGUGUAGUAGUGAUCUUGAACUACUAACGUGUUUAACAAACACCCUUGUUACUUCGUACGUGGAAAUCAUAAUGCCAAAAAAAUGCUACUUCGAUCCACAACAGCAGGAAGAAAGUUCUAGACCAUCUUACCAUCAUUGUAUAUAUAGCAAUACACAGAAGAGAAGAUACAAAAUUUACAAACAUUAAACAUGCUACGUAAGUUAGCGAAAACCGGGUUACACUCAAGUAAGUGAGAACGUAGAUACGAACCAUCUAAUGCACGUAUAAGUUAACUAGAAAACUUUCUUUAAAGUUAAGUAUAAAGUCAAAAACGUCUUCCCCAGGUAUCCUUUUAUUUGAUAGCGUUAGAAUAUUUUCCAGACAGAAAAAGUGUUCAAGGUAUAUAGAAAAGGUUGGAGUAUAUGAUAGUCAAUUCAUAAAAUCUAAUAGAAAACCUCCUCCACGCAGAAAAGGAAAGUCCUUUACUACAACCAAGUUCUGUAAGGACGGAGGACAAACAAUACAAAUAGACAAGGUACUAUGGUUUAGUCCUUAGUUGUUUACAAACCUAUUAGGUCUACAACCUUCGUUCUUAUUUCUUAAAUUUAAGUGUUCUACGUACACGUUGCGCGCCUCACAAUAGAUCAACCAAUGAUAUC